Molecule: long non-coding RNA, 315 nt
Filed under: Cricetulus griseus (Chinese hamster)
Lineage: Eukaryota; Metazoa; Chordata; Mammalia; Rodentia; Cricetidae
Description: lncRNA (ENSCGRG00000024138.1)
Source: RNAcentral
CUUGAACUAACAGACAUCUGUCUGCCUCUGAAUACUUGACUCCUGGGAUUAAAGCUGUGUACCACCAAUACCUGAUUUCUAUAGCUUCAGACUGACUUUGCUUUCUGAAUCCUCAGGAACCCACACCACAAGCCUGAGUGUGCAGAGGGGAUGUGUGGAACAGCCAGCAAUGGCACUAGAGCUCCAUCACAACCAUAGUAGCUCUCACUUAAACCACACAAUCCUGACCACUGUAGUUCAGAUGUAACUGGUGAGUAUAUCUUAAAACUUAUAUAUUUAAUUUAAUGACAACAGUGAUGUACAAACUGUUCAAAA